UCCGGGCCCUACGGGGCGCAGCAGGCGCGAAACCUUUACACUGCACGACAGUGCGAUAGGGGGAUCCCAAGUGCACAGGCAUAGCGCCUGUGCUUUUCGGUACCGUAAGGUGGUACCAGAAUAAGGGCUGGGCAAGACCGGUGCCAGCCGCCGCGGUAAUACCGGCAGCCCAAGUGAUGGCCGAUCUUAUUGGGCCUAAAGCGUCCGUAGCUGGCCGCGCAAGUCCAUCGGGAAAUCCACCUGCUCAACAGGUGGGCGCCCGGUAGAAACUGCGUGGCUUGGGACCGGAAGGCGCGACGGGUACGUCCGGGGUAGGAGUGAAAUCCCGUAAUCCUGGACGGACCGCCGAUGGCGAAAGCACGUCGCGAGGACGGAUCCGACAGUGAGGGACGAAAGCCAGGGUCUCGAACCGGAUUAGAUACCCGGGUAGUCCUGGCCGUAAACAAUGCCUGCUAGGUGUGGCUCCCACUACGAGUGGGUGCUGUGCCGUAGGGAAGCCGCUAAGCAGGCCGCCUGGGAAGUACGUCCGCAAGGAUGAAACUUAAAGGAAUUGGCGGGGGAGCACUACAACCGGAGGAGCCUGCGGUUUA
This 590-nucleotide ribosomal RNA is filed under the name Halorubrum sp. RNAcentral's name for it is "bacterial SSU rRNA". It matches the Rfam family "Archaeal small subunit ribosomal RNA", at positions 315 to 904 of the family's 1478-position model. The record is from RNAcentral. Lineage: Archaea; Methanobacteriati; Methanobacteriota; Halobacteria; Halobacteriales; Haloferacaceae.